UACCUGGUUGAUCCUGCCAGUAAUCAUAUGCUUGUCUCAAAGAUUAAGCCAUGCAUGUCUAAGUACAUGCCGAAAUAAGGCGAAACCGCGAAUGGCUCAUUAAAUCAGUUAUGGUUCCUUAGAUCGUUUUUUCCUACUUGGAUAACUGUGGCAAUUCUAGAGCUAAUACAUGCAGUGAGCCUGAAGCCCUUUGGGCGACGGGUGCUUUUAUUAGACCAAGAUCGAUCGGGUUUCGGCCCGUAUUGUGUGGUGACUCUGGAUAACUUUGUGCUGAUCGCAUGGCCACGAGCCGGCGACGUUUCUUUCAAGUGUCUGCCUUAUCAACUUUCGAUGGUAGGUUACUUGCUUACCAUGGUUGUUACGGGUAACGGAGAAUCAGGGUUCGAUUCCGGAGAGGGAGCCUGAGAAACGGCUACCACAUCCAAGGAAGGCAGCAGGCGCGCAAAUUACCCACUCCCGGCACGCGGAGGUAGUGACGAAAAAUAACAAUACGGGACUCUUUUGAGGCCCCGUAAUUGAAAUGAGUACACUCUAAAUCCUUUAACGAGGAUCAAUUGGAGGGCAAGUCUGGUGCCAGCAGCCGCGGUAAUUCCAGCUCCAAUAGCGUAUACUAAAGCUGCUGCGGUUAAAAAGCUCGUAGUUGGAUCUCAGUUCCAGACGAGUAGUGCAUCUACCCGAUGCGACGGCUCGGACUGAACAUCAUGCCGGUCCUUUCUUGGUGCACUUCAUUGUGUGCCUCGAGAAGGCCGGUGCUUUUACUUUGAAAAAAUUAGAGUGCUCAACGCAGGCGAGUCGCCUGAAUAAACUUGCAUGGAAUAAUAGAACAAGACCUCGUUUCUGUUCUGUUGGUUUUUGGAAUACGAGGUAAUGAUUAAGAGGGACAGACGGGGGCAUUCGUAUUGCGGCGCUAGAGGUGAAAUUCUUGGACCGUCGCAAGACGAACUACUGCGAAAGCAUUUGCCAAGAAUGUUUUCUUUGAUCAAGAACGAAAGUCAGAGGUUCGAAGGCGAUCAGAUACCGCCCUAGUUCUGACCAUAAACGAUGCCAACCAGCGAUCCGCCUGAGUUACUCAAAUGACUCGGCGGGCAGCUUCCGGGAAACCAAAGUGUUUGGGUUCCGGGGGAAGUAUGGUUGCAAAGCUGAAAUUUAAAGGAAUUGACGGAAGGGCACCACCAGGAGUGGAGCCUGCGGCUUAAUUUGACUCAACACGGUAAAACUUACCCAGCCCGGACACUGGGAGGAUUGACAGAUUGAGAGCUCUUUCUUGAUUCGGUGGAUGGUGGUGCAUGGCCGUUCUUAGUUGGUGGAGCGAUUUGUCUGGUUAAUUCUGAUAACGAACGAGACUCUAGCCUAUUAAAUAGGUGCGGGGUUCCCAGCACCUUACAACCUUCUUAGAGGGACAAGCGGCUCCUAGCCGCACGAAACAGAGCAAUAACAGGUCUGUGAUGCCCUUAGAUGUCCGGGGCCGCACGCGCGCUACACUGAAGGAAGCAGCGUGUCUUUAUCCCUGUCUGAAAAGACUGGGUAACCCGUGGAACUUCUUUCGUGAUUGGCAUAGGGGCUUGCAAUUGUUCCCCUUGAACGAGGAAUUCCCAGUAAGCGCGAGUCAUAAGCUCGCGUUGAUUACGUCCCUGCCCUUUGUACACACCGCCCGUCGCUACUACCGAUUGAAUGAUUUAGUGAGGUCUUCGGACCGAUGUCCGGCGCGGCCUUUCGGUUGCGCCGGUCUGUUGGAAAGAUGACCAAACUUGAUCAUUUAGAGGAAGUAAAAGUCGUAACAAGGUUUCCGUAGGUGAACCUGCGGAAGGAUCAUUA
Molecule: ribosomal RNA, 1815 nt
Filed under: Dermacentor andersoni
Lineage: Eukaryota; Metazoa; Arthropoda; Arachnida; Ixodida; Ixodidae
Description: small subunit ribosomal RNA
Rfam family: Eukaryotic small subunit ribosomal RNA
Source: RNAcentral